This 984-nucleotide ribosomal RNA is filed under the name uncultured archaeon. Its description in RNAcentral is "bacterial SSU rRNA". It matches the Rfam family "Archaeal small subunit ribosomal RNA", at positions 84 to 1053 of the family's 1478-position model. The record is from RNAcentral.
UACUGCUCAGUAACACGUAGACAUCUGCUCUUGAGAGGGGGAUAACCUCGGGAAACUGAGGACAAUACCCUAUAGGUUUGAAGCUCUGGAAUGACUCUUGCCUAAAGGACCCAGCCUAUUGCCGGCUGGCGUCGCUCAAGAAGGAGUCUGCGGCGGAUUAGGUUGACGUUAGGGUAAUGGCCUAACGUGCCUACGAUCCGUAUCGGCUAUGGGAGUAGGAGCCGGGAGAUGGAUACUGAGACAAGGAUCCAGGCCCUACGGGGCGCAGCAGGCGCGAAAUCUUCGCAAUGUGCGAAAGCACGACGAGGGAACCCCAAGUGCCCUUGUACAACAAGGGCUUUUGUAGAGUUUAAAUAACUCUGCGAAUAAGGGCUGGGUAAGGCUGGUGCCAGCCUCCGCGGUAAAACCAGCAGCUCGAGUGGUACUCGCGAUUAUUGGGCUUAAAGCGUACGUAGUCGGUUCGGCCAGUUCUCUGUGAAAUCCUGUGACUUAAUUACAGGGCUUGCGGGGGAUACUACCGGACUAGGAACCGGGAUAGGUCAGGGGUAUUCCUUGGGUAGCGGUGAAAUGCUAUAAUCCAGGGAAGACCACCAAUAGCGAAGGCACCUGUCUGGAACGGGUUCGACGAUGAGGGACGAAAGCUAGGGGAGCAAACGGGAUUAGAUACCCCGGUAGUCCUAGCCGUAAACGAUGCAGACUAAGUGUUUCCUGAACUUUGUGUUCGGGAAGCGUUGAAGGGAAACCGUUAAGUCUGCCGUCUGGGGAGUACGGUCGCAAGGCUGAAACUUAAAGGAAUUGGCGGGGGAGCACCACAAGGGGUGGAGUCUGCGGUUUAAUUGGAUACAACGCCGGGAAACUUACCAGGGGCGACGGCAGAAUGAUGGCCAGGCUGAAGGUCUUGCCAGACAAGCCGAGAGGUAGUGCAUGGCCGCCGUCAGCUCGUACCGUAAGGCGUGCGGUUAAGUCCGUUAACGAGCGAGACCC